CUACGGGUCGCACCAGUGAGGAAUAUUGCACAAUGGGGGGAACCCUGAUGCAGCAACGCCGCGUGGAGGAUGACGCAUUUCGGUGUGUAAACUCCUUUUAUAUGUCAAGAAAAUGACGGUAGCAUAUGAAUAAGCACCGGCUAACUCCGUGCCAGCAGCCGCGGUAAUACGGAGGGUGCAAGCGUUACUCGGAAUCACUGGGCGUAAAGGACGCGUAGGCGGGUUGGAAAGUCAGGUGUGAAAUCCUACAGCUUAACUGUAGAACUGCACUUGAAACUUCUAAUCUAGAGGAUGGGAGGGGAGAUGGAAUUAGUGGUGUAGGGGUAAAAUCCGUAGAUAUCACUAGGAAUACCUAAAGCGAAGGCGAUCUCCUGGAACAUUACUGACGCUAAGGCGUGAAAGCGUGGGGAGCAAACAGGAUUAGAUACCCCCGUAGUC
RNAcentral lists this ribosomal RNA (438 nucleotides) under uncultured bacterium. Its description in RNAcentral is "partial 16S ribosomal RNA". It matches the Rfam family "Bacterial small subunit ribosomal RNA", at positions 339 to 795 of the family's 1533-position model. The record is from RNAcentral.